This 115-nucleotide ribosomal RNA is filed under the name Schizosaccharomyces pombe (fission yeast). Lineage: Eukaryota; Fungi; Ascomycota; Schizosaccharomycetes; Schizosaccharomycetales; Schizosaccharomycetaceae. The record is from RNAcentral. RNAcentral also lists the same sequence under 3 other names.
ACGGCCAUACCUAGGCGAAAACACCAGUUCCCGUCCGAUCACUGCAGUUAAGCGUCUGAGGGCCUCGUUAGUACUAUGGUUGGAGACAACAUGGGAAUCCGGGGUGCUGUAGGCU